RNAcentral lists this ribosomal RNA (106 nucleotides) under uncultured bacterium. RNAcentral's name for it is "partial 16S ribosomal RNA". It matches the Rfam family "Bacterial small subunit ribosomal RNA", at positions 1379 to 1482 of the family's 1533-position model. The record is from RNAcentral.
CCUUGUACACACCGCCCGUCACACCACGAAAGUUGGCAAUACCCGAAGCCGGUGGGCUAACCUCUUUGAGGAGGCAGCCGUCGAAGGUAGGGUCGAUGAUUGGGUG